AUGAUGUCAAGUCAGCAUGGGCCUUUAUAUCCUGGGCUACACACACGCUACAAUGGCCAACACAAUAGGUUGCUAAGCCGCGAGGUGGCGCCAAUCCAUAAGUUGGUCUCAGUUCAGAUUGUAGGCUGCGAACCCGCCUGCAUGAAGAUGGAGUUGCUAGUAACCGCAGGUCAGCUAUACUGCGGUGAAUUACCGGUUCCCGGGGCUU
This 208-nucleotide ribosomal RNA is filed under the name uncultured Leptolinea sp. Its description in RNAcentral is "partial 16S ribosomal RNA". It matches the Rfam family "Bacterial small subunit ribosomal RNA", at positions 1179 to 1382 of the family's 1533-position model. The record is from RNAcentral. Lineage: Bacteria; Bacillati; Chloroflexota; Anaerolineae; Anaerolineales; Anaerolineaceae.